This 435-nucleotide ribosomal RNA is filed under the name uncultured Desulfobulbus sp. RNAcentral's name for it is "bacterial SSU rRNA". It matches the Rfam family "Bacterial small subunit ribosomal RNA", at positions 948 to 1382 of the family's 1533-position model. The record is from RNAcentral. Lineage: Bacteria; Pseudomonadati; Thermodesulfobacteriota; Desulfobulbia; Desulfobulbales; Desulfobulbaceae.
AAUUCGAUGCAACGCGAAGAACCUACCUGGUCUUGACAUCCGGAGACCUUAGGAACUAGGGGUGCUUCCAUCUGGAAGAAUCUGGAGACAGGUGCUGCAUGGCUGUCGUCAGCUCGUGUCGUGAGAUGUUGGGUUAAGUCCCGCAACGAGCGCAACCCUUGCCUUUAGUUGCCAGCAGUUCGGCUGGGCACUCUAAAGGGACUGCCGGUGUUAAACCGGAGGAAGGUGGGGAUGACGUCAAGUCCUCAUGGCCUUUAUGACCAGGGCUACACACGUACUACAAUGGCCGAUACAAAGGGCAGCGACACUGCGAGGUGAAGCCAAUCCCGUAAAAUCGGUCUCAGUCCGGAUUGGAGUCUGCAACUCGACUCCAUGAAGUUGGAAUCGCUAGUAAUCGUGGAUCAGCAUGCCACGGUGAAUACGUUCCCGGGCCUU